CCUACGGGAGGCAGCAGUGGGGGAUAUUGCACAAUGGGGGAAACCCUGAUGCAGCGACGCCGCGUGGGCGAAGAAGUAUUUCGGUAUGUAAAGCCCUAUCAGCAGGGAAGUAGAAAUGACGGUACCUGACUAAGAAGCACCGGCUAAAUACGUGCCAGCAGCCGCGGUAAUACGUAGGGUGCAAGCGUUAUCCGGAUUUACUGGGUGUAACGGGAGCGCAGGCGGCACGGCAAGCCUGAUGGGAAAGCACGCGGCCCAACCGCGGGACUGCAUUGGGAACUACCGGGCUGGAGGGCCGGAGAGGUAGGCGGAAUUCCUAGUGUAGCGGUGAAAUGCGUAGAUAUUAGGAGGAACACCAGUGGCGAAGGCGGCCUACUAGACGGUGACUGACGCUGAGGCUCGAAAGCGUGGGGAGCAAACAGGAUUAGAUACCCGUGUAGUC
RNAcentral lists this ribosomal RNA (442 nucleotides) under uncultured bacterium. RNAcentral describes it as "partial 16S ribosomal RNA". It matches the Rfam family "Bacterial small subunit ribosomal RNA", at positions 338 to 795 of the family's 1533-position model. The record is from RNAcentral.